This is an RNA transcript of Antechinus flavipes (yellow-footed antechinus), 1095 nucleotides long. It is a transcript of the gene named serine protease inhibitor Kazal-type 9-like, with no coding region annotated. NCBI's taxonomy places the organism in Eukaryota, Metazoa, Chordata, Mammalia, Dasyuromorphia, Dasyuridae. The transcript has 8 exons. The record is from RefSeq and is a predicted model, not a curated record.
UUUUACCACCUGAGGAGUUAUGGUAAUAUCAACAGCAGAGCCUGGGAGGUGAGGAAGAAAGAGAAUCUGCAAAGAAACAGAACAUUCUGAAGAGACAAUAUGGCCUUUUCCCUGCUGUUAAAUAAGGCUUUUUUUGGUCUCUUUAUUAUAGCAUCGUCUGGAUUCUCAGAUUUUAUAAAUUGGAAGAAACCUAAAACACGUAAAGCAGAGAUUGACUGUUUAUGGUUGCUACAAGCAAUGAAGAACAAUAUUCCAAGAAUUUGGAAAUAUUGUGAAUUUACAUAUGAUCCACUAUGUUCAAAAGAUAAGGAAACUUUUGGGAACCAAUGUCUCUACUGCCUAAAGUACAGGUUGAUUGUCCUUGGAUGCUACUAGAAUUAGAUAAAAAGAACCCGAGAAUCCUGAAUUACUGUGUAUCUGGAAUUGAUAUAGUAUGUUCAAUUGACAAUGAAAAUUUUGUGAACAAGUGUGAAUUUUGCAUAAAAAAGAACAUCAAUAUGAAGAGAGCCUGGGAGGGGAGAUAGAAGGGGAAGUUGCAUAGAAGCAUAGAAGCAUUCUGAAAAGAAAACAUGGCCUUCUCCCUGUUGUCAACCAAGAUUCUAUUGGGCCUCUUCAUCUUGGAAUUGUCUGGUUUCUCAGAGGUUUUCAGUGCACUACAGUCUUCAGGAAAGGGGUUCCAAAAGCCGAUUUGUCAAAAAUUCUUGAGAGAAUUUGAAAAGCAAAGUAAGGAAGAAAGGAAAUGUUCACCAAAUGUUGACCCAAUAUGUGCAUCUAAUCGUCAGACUUACAGAAACCCGUGCGAAUUCUGUUUAGCAUACAAGUAUUUACAAGCAACAAUUUACUUUAUGCAUUAUGGUGACUGCUGACUAUAGGGGCUUUCAAAAGAUGUCUGUCCUCAACCUUUUCCUGUUGCAUAUUCCUCAAAACAAUUACUUCUUCUCCACUUUUGCCCAGGAAGCUCUUUGUGAUUAUAGCUUAAUUUGUUCAUUGAAAAAUUGUACCCAGAUAUUCCUAGAAGAAUGACCAUCAAAGCUCUUCCUAGAUUCAUUCUAUUGGUUAUGAGAAAGUUUCCAUAAUAAAAUAUAUUUCUCUUAA